Molecule: ribosomal RNA, 391 nt
Filed under: Thermococci archaeon
Lineage: Archaea; Methanobacteriati; Methanobacteriota; Thermococci
Description: bacterial SSU rRNA
Rfam family: Archaeal small subunit ribosomal RNA
Source: RNAcentral
CUAGGGGGACCGCCGCCGAUAAGGCGGAGGAAGGAGUGGGCCACGGCAGGUCAGUAUGCCCCGAAUCCCCCGGGCCACACGUGAGCUGCAAUGGCGGGGACAAUGGGAUCCGACCCCGAAAGGGGAAGGUAAUCCCCAAACCCCGCCUCAGUUGGGAUCGAGGGCUGAAACCCGUCCUCGUGAACAUGGAAUCCCUAGUAAUCGCGUGUCAUCAGCGCGCGGUGAAUACGUCCCUGCUCCUUGCACACACCGCCCGUCACUCCACCCGAGCGGGGUCUGGAUGAGGCUCCGUCCUCUGGGCAGGGUCGAGUCCAGGCUCCGUGAGGGGGGAGAAGUCGUAACAAGGUAGCCGUAGGGGAACCUACGGCUCGAUCACCUCCUAUCGCCGGAA